RNAcentral lists this unclassified non-coding RNA (612 nucleotides) under Hevea brasiliensis (rubber tree). Lineage: Eukaryota; Viridiplantae; Streptophyta; Magnoliopsida; Malpighiales; Euphorbiaceae. The record is from RNAcentral.
UUAUGAAGUUGGUGACCAUGGUCGUGGGCAUUCCCAUGAUAGAGAAUCUAAUUAUGAUCAUGUUGAUUCAAAACAUGAGAGGGAUCGCCGUGCUGAAAGGGACUAUGAUCAUGCUGAGCCAGAGGAUGACCGUGGUUGGUAUGAACAAUCUGAGCAAGAGCAUAGGCAGCCAGAUGCCGAGCAUGAUCGGCCUUAUGAUCAUUAUGAAGAUCACCGAAGUAGGAGACAAAAUGAUCAUAAGGAUGUUCAAGGUGACCAUGACCGCUAUGAUCAAUAUCCUGAUCAUGAUCAGGAUCGUAAUGAUCGGAUGGAUGACGAUGAUUAUUAUCAUGAAGCAUCUGAAUCACAUCAAAGAGAGCAUGAAUAUCGGCGCUCAAAGAGGUCACUUUCCCAGGACUAUGAUAACUGAAGGUGCACGUUUGCUGUAAUCAGCUGUUGUGCUUUGCCUGUAAGGUCACUGAGGAUAACUGAAGCCCUUUUUGCUAUAUUGCUCUUUGCCUUUCCUACCUGAUUUGGUUUGAAUUAUGUGAAUUAGUGUAGGUGUUUGUUUGAUUAAAAGCCAGAGUGGCUUGUUUUCUCUACUUUAAAUAUUGCCGUUGGACUUCCAUUUUA